AGUGAACGCUGGCGGUAGGCCUAACACAUGCAAGUCGAACGGCAGCACAGUAAGAGCUUGCUCUUACGGGUGGCGAGUGGCGGACGGGUGAGGAAUACAUCGGCAUCUACUUUUUCGUGGGGGAUAACGUAGGGAAACUUACGCUACUACCGCAUACGACCUACGGGUGAAAGCAGUGGAUCUUCGGACCUUGCGCGAUUGAAUGAGCCGAUGUCGGAUUAGCUAGUUGGCGGGGUAAAGGCCCACCAAGGCGACGAUCCGUAGCUGGUCUGAGAGGAUGAUCAGACACACUGGAACUGAGACACGGUCCAGACUCCUACGGGAGGCAGCAGUGGGGAAUAUUGGACAAUGGGAGCAAGCCUGAUCCAGCAAUACCGCGUGGGUGAAGAAGGCCUUCGGGUCGUAAAGCCCUUUUGUUGGGAAAGAAAAGCAGCAGGUUAAUACCCCGCUGUUCUGACGGUACCCAAAGAAUAAGCACCGGCUAACUUCGUG
Molecule: ribosomal RNA, 492 nt
Filed under: uncultured bacterium
Lineage: Bacteria
Description: partial 16S ribosomal RNA
Rfam family: Bacterial small subunit ribosomal RNA
Source: RNAcentral